AUAUACCUGCUUUGAACAGAGAUGGGUGGCUUAAAUUUGAUGAACUGGGGAAGAAAAUACUGUCCAUUGCACUACCUGCUGCUUUGGCAUUGGCAGCUGAUCCACUUACCUCACUGAUCGACACAGCAUUUGUCGGCCACAUAGGGCCUGCUGAAUUGGCUGCAGUUGGGGUUUCAACUUCUGUGUUUAAUUUGGUGU
Arachis ipaensis is the source of this 198-nucleotide non-coding RNA. NCBI's taxonomy places the organism in Eukaryota, Viridiplantae, Streptophyta, Magnoliopsida, Fabales, Fabaceae. The record is from RefSeq and is a predicted model, not a curated record.